This 252-nucleotide ribosomal RNA is filed under the name uncultured bacterium. RNAcentral's name for it is "partial 16S ribosomal RNA". It matches the Rfam family "Bacterial small subunit ribosomal RNA", at positions 524 to 776 of the family's 1533-position model. The record is from RNAcentral.
UACGGAGGAUGCGAGCGUUAUCCGGAUUUAUUGGGUUUAAAGGGUGCGUAGGCGGUCCGUUAAGUCAGCGGUAAAGUUGCGGGGCUCAACCCCGUCGAGCCGUUGAAACUGGCAGACUUGAGUUGGCGAGAAGUACGCGGAAUGCGCGGUGUAGCGGUGAAAUGCAUAGAUAUCGCGCAGAACUCCGAUUGCGAAGGCAGCGUACCGGCGCCACACUGACGCUGAGGCACGAAAGCGUGGGGAUCGAACAGG